This 830-nucleotide ribosomal RNA is filed under the name uncultured bacterium. RNAcentral describes it as "bacterial SSU rRNA". It matches the Rfam family "Bacterial small subunit ribosomal RNA", at positions 90 to 917 of the family's 1533-position model. The record is from RNAcentral.
GGCGAGUGGCGAACGGGUGAGUAAUACAUCGGAACGUGCCCUGUAGUGGGGGAUAACUAGUCGAAAGACUAGCUAAUACCGCAUACGACCUGAGGGUGAAAGUGGGGGACCGCAAGGCCUCAUGCUAUAGGAGCGGCCGAUGUCUGAUUAGCUAGUUGGUGGGGUAAAGGCCUACCAAGGCGACGAUCAGUAGCUGGUCUGAGAGGACGAUCAGCCACACUGGGACUGAGACACGGCCCAGACUCCUACGGGAGGCAGCAGUGGGGAAUUUUGGACAAUGGGGGCAACCCUGAUCCAGCAAUGCCGCGUGUGUGAAGAAGGCCUUCGGGUUGUAAAGCACUUUUGUCCGGGAAGAAAUCGCACCUGAUAAUACCGGGUGUGGAUGACGGUACCGGAAGAAUAAGGACCGGCUAACUACGUGCCAGCAGCCGCGGUAAUACGUAGGGUCCAAGCGUUAAUCGGAAUUACUGGGCGUAAAGCGUGCGCAGGCGGUUGUGCAAGACCGAUGUGAAAUCCCCGGGCUUAACCUGGGAAUUGCAUUGGUGACUGCACGGCUAGAGUGUGUCAGAGGGGGGUAGAAUUCCACGUGUAGCAGUGAAAUGCGUAGAGAUGUGGAGGAAUACCGAUGGCGAAGGCAGCCCCCUGGGAUAACACUGACGCUCAUGCACGAAAGCGUGGGGAGCAAACAGGAUUAGAUACCCUGGUAGUCCACGCCCUAAACGAUGUCAACUAGUUGUUGGGGAUUCAUUUCCUUAGUAACGUAGCUAACGCGUGAAGUUGACCGCCUGGGGAGUACGGUCGCAAGAUUAAAACUCAAAGGAAUUGACGGG